This 520-nucleotide ribosomal RNA is filed under the name uncultured Gigaspora. RNAcentral's name for it is "SSU rRNA". It matches the Rfam family "Eukaryotic small subunit ribosomal RNA", at positions 569 to 1094 of the family's 1831-position model. Lineage: Eukaryota; Fungi; Glomeromycota; Glomeromycetes; Diversisporales; Gigasporaceae. The record is from RNAcentral.
AGCAGCCGCGGUAAUUCCAGCUCCAAUAGCGUAUAUUAAAGUUGUUGCAGUUAAAAAGCUCGUAGUUGAAUUUCGGGGUUCUACCGUUGGUCGGGCAAUAGUCUGUACUGGCGUGUGGAAUUUCUACCUUCUGGGGAACCAUCAUGUUAUUAAUUUAGCGUGGUGGGAAACCAGGACCUUUACCUUGAAAAAAUUAGAGUGUUCAAAGCAGGCUUACGUCUGAAUACAUUAGCAUGGAAUAAUAAAAUAGGACGGUGGUCCUGUUUUGUUGGUUUCUGAAUCACCGUAAUGAUUAAUAGGGAUAGUUGGGGGCAUUAGUAUUCAAUUGUCAGAGGUGAAAUUCUUGGAUUUAUUGAAGACUAACUUCUGCGAAAGCAUUUGCCAAGGAUGUUUUCAUUAAUCAAGAACGAAAGUUAGGGGAUCGAAGACGAUCAGAUACCGUCGUAGUCUUAACCAUAAACUAUGCCGACUAGGGAUCGGACGAUGUUAAUUUUUCUUGACUCGUUCGGCGCCUUACGGG